RNAcentral lists this transfer RNA (66 nucleotides) under Urochela quadrinotata (four-spotted shield-bug). RNAcentral describes it as "tRNA-Leu". It matches the Rfam family "tRNA". From Rfam's summary of the family: Transfer RNA (tRNA) molecules are approximately 80 nucleotides in length. Their secondary structure includes four short double-helical elements and three loops (D, anti-codon, and T loops). Lineage: Eukaryota; Metazoa; Arthropoda; Insecta; Hemiptera; Urostylididae. The record is from RNAcentral.
UCUAAUAUGGCAGAUUUAAUGCAUUGAACUUAAGAUUCAUUCAUAAAGGUUAUCCUUUUAUUAGAU